GAUUUUCUAGCACUGAAACAGCCGUUACCAAAAAACACAGGUCAAACUGUACGUUGGGCACUGCUUUCCUUGCUGUGACAUAUGUCAAGAGACCAUGAUACAGUGUAACAAAAUUGUGUCUUUCUUUUUAGAAAAAGAAAAAGGAAAAGAAGAAAUCAAAUAGGGUGAGCAAAGUUUUCAGGUUUUUAAGUUUACGUGGCUUGAGUUCCUGAAAAGACACAAUAAGAGUAUGAUUUGGAGUUUUAUAUGUCUGAAUAGCUAUGCUUCUGUUGCUUGUUAUCUGAGAGGUAGUUUAGUUGGUAUUUGAGGGGGAAAGGAGAAUCUUAAACUUCAGUUUAAAAGAAAAGGGUCUUGCUGAUUUAAAAAUAGAGAAUGCCAUAUAUAUGUUGUUUGUUUGAGGAAAUAUCACUCACAGAAGUGCCCACUUCAUACAACUUUAUUUAAGAAAAUCUCCCUGGGCUAGGCUUUUAGAACUAAGAAUGCUGUUGACAACAUCUGCAGAGACAUUUGGGAGCAUAUUUGGGUAUUCCUUUAACUAUUUUUCAAACAGACAAAAUACUGCAUCUCACAAGCUUUAAUUUUUGUUGUGUUUGGUCAAGUUGUCUUCAUCUUCCUCUUCUUCAUCGAGCUCUGAUUCUUCCAGCAGCUCAUCUGAUUCUGAUGAUGAGGACAAGAAACAAGGGAAAAAACGAAGAAAAAAGAAGUAUCGCUCCUCACGGAAAUCUUCUGAAAGCUCUACUUCUGAUUCUGAAUCAGAUAGCAAGGACAGCACAAAAAAGAAAAAAAUAAAGGAAGAACAUGAAAGAGAAAAGGACAAUAAAAGUCUUAGUAGGAAAAGGAAGAAACUUGAUCGUGGGAGUGGACCUUUAUCAUCAGAGUCCUUAUCAGAGUCAGAUCCUACUGAGGAGGUACAAGUGAAAAAGAAAAAAAACAGUGAAGAAAGAGAAAAAGUAACAGCAAGUAUUCUUCCUAUUUCCCUAAAUUUAGACAGUGUCUUAACACGGUGUAAAAUUAGCAUGUACUUUUAUAGUAUGAGACACCCUUUACAAAGUUGAAUAUUUUAUACAAAAUUCUGUUCUCAGGUGCACAGCUGUAAAUUGAGAAUAACUUAGUUUACUUCUGGAAGCUUCUUUGCCUAUAUAUCAGUUUCCCUGAGAACAGAGUUUGCCCCUGUAUUCAUAGAUUCCAAGGCCAGAAGGUACCAUUGUGAUUAUCUAGUCUGACCCCGUGUCUAACACAGGCCACAAAACAUCCCCAAAUAAUUCCUUGAGCAUAUCUGUAUGUUACCUAAGUACAGAUAUGUGUGAAUAGAAAUGUUAUUUUCUAGAUGCAGUAAAAGUCAAAUAUGUUUACCUAUAUUCACAUUAAUAAAAUGGAACUUUAAGCUCCAAAUGAUGUAUGCUGAUAUAAUAUACAUCCUGCUCCAAAAUAUAUAAAUAGAGAUUUUAUUCUGUGCCUCAUAAGGUGUUUCUAUACUAAAUCUGGGAGCGUGCCUCUCAAACUGAGGGGGGUGGAAUAGGGUUAAUGCAACUUUAACAUUUUUGUUCCCUCUUGAUUUUGGGUAGUUGCAGUGGUCCCUGGCAUAACUUGAACAGCCUUGGAGGCCUGUGUACGUUACGACAGCCUCCCAGGCUGCCCUGUGAGCCUCAGCACCACUCAAUCUCUCUGCACUGGAUACUGAGUCCUUCCCCGACAGAUCCUCUAUGCCAGAGCUUGAGAAGGGGUGCUCAAAAUAUAAUCCAUGUACUGUUACGUUGGAGGAAUUCUCUUCCAGAUGAGUAAGGGGCUUUUACCUUCUCUUUACGACUCUAGUCCUUUUACCCAGUACAAUGGGGCAAGAGCCAGGAUGAGGAUCUUGCCUUUAAUUAAUUUCUUUACAAAGACCUUCUGCAUUAAGUGCUCUUAGGGUAAUCAUUUUCAUUUUGUUCAGUAUGUAAUCUACAUGCGGAUUUGAAGUUACAAAUUUUCCAGAGUUGGGCUGGUUGUCAGCCAUAUGAUUCACAGUGGCUGAUGUGCUGAGCUUUUUCUUUUAAAUAAAUGUAUAUUACAUACAUUGUAUACUGCACUGAAGCUAUGUAUUUUGUGUAUAGUGGAAAACAUCCAUAUAGCACUGAGUGACAAUUCUUGUGUAUCAUUGUCAUAGUAUAUAAUACAAACCUGGUCCUCCAUGCGUUACUCGGGAAUAGCUACUGAAAUUCUGCCUGACUGAGGACAGAGAAUUGGUUUUUAGAUUGUGUUUCUAUGUUUAGAAUAUUAAUGUUAGAAUAAACUGCAUUAGACUUCAGCCUCCAGCACUUAUGUCUCAUUUAAUUUGGAAUUAUACAAGGGCUCAAUUAUGAAAACCCUCAUACAGUUAAGCAAAGGCUGUAGGACCAGGACCUAUUUUGUCAGGAAUGGGAAAUCAAACUCGUAUGUGGACAGUGAAUAAUCAAAUAUGCAUUGGAAUUAUAUAGGGCUUCCUACUCUCUUCCUUCUCCAAUAUGCAAAAUGCCAGUUCCCUCUCAAACUCCAUUAUCUUACUGAUGUCUCAACAGUUCAUAAAGUGUCCAUGUGACUUAAAAGAUUAGUAAACAAAAUAGCGACAAUGGCUACUUUUGGCCUCUUAUCAGACCAAAAUAGAACUAACUUUGAUUUUUUUUAAAAAAUUCAUAUUAUUCUAUCUUCUGACACUUUGCGGUUCUUUUCUCUCCCUCAUUGUGGCAUUAUAAUACUGUACACUUAUGUAGUAAUGUUAUCUGAAAUAUCUUUGGACAGACACCCUUUCAGAGUUCUUAUAACACUUAUUUAGCUGAAUUUUAAUAGAUUUUGAGUUUUCAUUUAUGGAAUAACUUGCAUUAUUUAACUGUUUUAAAGGAUAAAACAAAAAAGAGAAAGAAGCACAAGAAGCAUGGUAAAAAGAAGAAAAAGAAGACUGCUGGUUCAAGUUCAGAUUCAGAAUAACACUUAAAUCGAGUCCCUUCAACAAAAGUGCAAUGAUUAAAGGAAACUUCAACUGUGAAAAUUAUGGCAAUCUUUACCACACUGCAUGAGUUUCCCCGUGUUUUAGGAAUAUUACUAGACUUUCAAUAGCCAGCCAGGUGCCACCGUGCCCAAAAAGACCAUUGUUGUUGCCUGCUGCUUGAUACCUGGGGUACAGGUUGGUUGUUUUUUUUUUAAUUCCAGUAGCCAGUGUUAGUUGUUUGAAAUCAUAAGAGAAGGUGGUCCAGCUAAUAUGUAAAAUAUUAGGAAAUAGAGUGAAACCUUUUAGAUACUAAAAAUUGUGUUUUAACAAGUUAGUAAUAUACUCUAAUUUUUAAACCUGCAGAAAUAAAAUCUAAAAUCCAUCUUGAAGAGGAAUAUAAAACAACAAGACUAUUGAUACUUGGUGACUACUGAUGCCAUUUGUGAAAUGGGAAUAAAAUAGUAACAAUUUUAAAUGUUACUUUUGUAGAAAUAUUAAUGAUAAGUUUGCCUUUCCUUUUCUUUUGUGGGUGUUUAUCAUUUUGUCUAGCUGAAUUAGGGUGCCUUUGGUCCUUGCAAAAUCCAACUAUUUUUAACAGUGCAACAACUAUAUUUCUUAGGGAGUUUAAAACUGGUAUCAUCAGGUUUUUCGUGAAUAAACAAUUCUGGGCCUCUACCAGGUACUUUUGCAUUAAGUAAGAGCAAUGACACUUUGCAGCAUAACUUGACAUCCAAAAAGACCUUACCUCCACUUCAUUAAAACGAUGCUGAAUACUGUGCUAUUAAUAUGUAUUACAUCAUUUAAAGUAAUUUUGAGUUUAACAGAACAUUUUUGGCAAACACUGGUAGCUUUUUCCUUUUGCAUUGUCAUUAAGAUAUUUAGAAAUUAUUUUGCAUGUUUGUACCAUUUUUAAAUAACGUACAAGUAUUCCGUUGUAACCAUUGGUCUUGGUUUUUUUUAUGAAUUAUGUUCCAGGUGCAGAGUUUCAUAUAUGUAUUUACUUAUUCUAAUAGUAAGUUCAUUUGCUGUGAUAAAAUGCACACUUGCUGAAAAUAUUUAGCAUGUAAAAAGCAGGGUUUUGAUAUCUAACAGCUUCAUAUUGAAGCUGGUUUUACUUUAAGCAAGUUCAAUGGCAGACCUGUUAUGCGAAUGUGUCUUGUUAUAUAAAACUACUGCCAGAAUCUCAGUAAAGAUACUC
Pelusios castaneus (West African mud turtle) is the source of this 4139-nucleotide long non-coding RNA. Lineage: Eukaryota; Metazoa; Chordata; Testudines; Pelomedusidae. The record is from Ensembl.